UACGUAGGUGGCAAGCGUUACUCGGAAUUACUAGGCGUAAAGCGCAGGUAGGUGGUGUGAUAAGUCCGUAAUGAAAUCUCCCGGCUUAACUGGGAGGGGUUUAGGGAUACUGUCAUGCUCGAGUGUGGGAGAGGUAACUGGAAUUCCUGGUGUAGCGGUGAAAUGCGCAGAUAUCAGGAGGAACACCGGUGGCGAAGGCGGGUCUCUGGGCCGACACUGACACUGAAACACGAAAGCGUGGGUAGCGAAUGGG
This 253-nucleotide ribosomal RNA is filed under the name uncultured bacterium. RNAcentral's name for it is "partial 16S ribosomal RNA". It matches the Rfam family "Bacterial small subunit ribosomal RNA", at positions 524 to 776 of the family's 1533-position model. The record is from RNAcentral.